This 308-nucleotide non-coding RNA is filed under the name Necator americanus (New World hookworm). Its description in RNAcentral is "Microsporidia small subunit ribosomal RNA". The stretch from base 1 to 275 matches the Rfam family "Eukaryotic small subunit ribosomal RNA", at positions 161 to 435 of the family's 1831-position model. Lineage: Eukaryota; Metazoa; Nematoda; Chromadorea; Rhabditida; Ancylostomatidae. The record is from Rfam by way of RNAcentral.
GAUUUAAGGCUAGCUUCAACGUCGUUUGACUAAGGGAAGUACUGUACACUGAUGGAAGGACCGGCGCCAAAGUCGUCUGCAAGGGACAGCAGUUUAAAAAAAACGCUAUCUCUUUUGCUGUAGAAGUCGAAAAUUUCUACGUGUUGCGGUGUCUGCCCUACCAACCUGACGGUAGUCUAUUAGUCAGGGUUAUUACGGGUUACGGAGAAUAAGGGUUUGACUCCGGAGAAGGAGCUUUAAAAACGGCUACCACAUCCAAGGAGGGCAGCAGGCGCAGAACAAAGCAAAUGACACUGUUUGUUGUCCUU